RNAcentral lists this long non-coding RNA (1185 nucleotides) under Oryctolagus cuniculus (rabbit). RNAcentral describes it as "lncRNA (ENSOCUG00000039108.1)". The record is from RNAcentral. Lineage: Eukaryota; Metazoa; Chordata; Mammalia; Lagomorpha; Leporidae.
UUCCAGAACCGCCAAUGUGUCCCAGAACGUGGACGUGUGGAGCCACGCGAUCCACGGCCACGCCAUUCCGGGUUGAGAAGCUGACAUUCUAGAACGUUACUGCAGACAAGCUUUUCACAAAUGAAACACUGCUGCUGGAGCUAAGGCCUCACCUCCCCGGCACCCGCAGGCCCUGAAGCUGCCCUGGGCCUGGAAAGAGGCCUGGGCUCAGGCCCGCAAACAGGGCUAAACGUGGCCUUGCGCGUUCCCGACCCGACUCGGGCAUCCUCUUGUCUGGACCGCCCCGCCCCACACCUGAGAACUCGCCACUCGGGUCGCCCGGAGAGUGUGACACGGCACCCAUCCCGGCCCCCUGCCUGCCGCCUCCGAGGCCCUGCUGCGCCCGCUCGCUGGGCUCGCGCCCUGCCUUCGCCCCCAGCCGCACCCCGCUGGCUGUCACCCUGUCAGCAGAGCCUGAAUCUCCCGCUGAUGUCCCGCUGGGAAUGCGGUCGCCUUUCCCUGCUUGGCCUUCCGCGCUUCCGGCCCUGCCUCUGGCGUCGCAGGUGUGCGGGACAGCGGCGAGGUGCGCGGAGCGCGCAGGGGCGCCCACGUGCCGCCCGGUCCACUACCCAACUCGGAGCUGGCAAACGGGUACCAACCGCGGCCCUCCAGGAGCCCAGGACUCGGGACCUCGCCUGUUGACACAGACUCCCUUCUCCCCGACCCCCCCACCGGCUUGAGAGCUAGGAGUCCUACCUGCCACCUGCCGGGCCGCGGCCUGCGCUCCGCCGCUCCCAAGGAGGACGCGCAGCGGCCUGGAGUUGCGGGGGUCGGGGCGCACCUCUCCCCGCCGCCGCUUCGCCCGGACGCGCGGAAAAGCAAAGCUGGAACGCCACGCCACCACCGAAAGCCGCGGCCUCUCCGGGCCGUAAGGAGACCCGGUCUUCGCGCACGCCCCAGUGAGCCGAAGGGCGGGCCACGCGCGUGGGCUUCCACGGGCAGCCGCUCCCGCCGCGGGUGUCCUCUCACGGCGAUGCCGUACGGCCUGGCGCGGCGGGAGGGAACCGCAGCCGGGGUCCAGGGUCUGGCGUGCGGGACGGGUCGGGGGCGGCGGGAGCAAGGUUGGGGUUAGCGCGAGCGCAGCGGAGGCCGGGGUCUGCGGGCCGCGGAGCCACCGGCAAAUGGGGCUUUCCCGGUCCCGCGCCA